Long non-coding RNA from Cyprinus carpio carpio, 1048 nucleotides. The record is from Ensembl. Lineage: Eukaryota; Metazoa; Chordata; Actinopteri; Cypriniformes; Cyprinidae.
CCAUAAUGCAUAAUGGAUUAAUAAUGCAUAGUAGAAAAUCCUGUUUUACACAUCUGCUCACAGAUCCCUAGUUGAAAACCCUGGUUUUAAUUUGCAGAUGAAAACUUUAGAUCCCUAUUACACAAAAACUUGUCCUUCUUGAUUUUAUAUUCCACCAAGACUUCCAGAGUGUCCGUAGGGUAGUUAACGGAAAGGUUUUUGGGCUACAUCAUCCUCAGUGCAGUCCACUGGCACUUUAUGUUUUUAGGAACAUGUUGUAUAAAAUACAGCAGGUCUUCACAGCUAAACUGGUUUGGCAAAUGGAAUGCUUCUGCAGACAUCUGAGCCGCUGAAAAGAAUUUCUCAGAGUACUGAUGGAGCCUUGCACCGCUGCAAGAGAUGACUGCACUUUCCGGUUAUAACAUACAUUUUUCUGUCCUAUUGUUGCAUAAUCUGGGAAUGGAGUCAGAAAGUGCUCUGAAAGUGGAAAGGUGAAAUUGCCAGUGAUGUGUUUGCCAUGUAAAAGUGUCACAUGGUCUUUCUGCAAUGCCUUGUCAACCUCUGAUGCUGACAGGACUCUUGAGUUAUGCCAGUUUCUAUGGUGCACCAGACACAGGUGAAAUGACCCUUGUGGUUGCAAGAAGCCAAGAGUUUUACAGCAUACAACCCCUCUGCGUUUCUAUGUACCUCUGGAUCUGGCACAUCGGUAGGUUUCUCAACAGGAAUGAAACACAUUCCUACUACACAGAGAGUAUCUGAUAACCCCACAGUAGAAAAGAAGCCCACCACAGAUAUUUCUGCUUCCUCCCACUGAAGCCAAUGAGUUUCAUUAUCCAAGAUACUGGUAACAAGGGUGCAGAAUACAUCCAGCUGAUCACAAAUGAGUGACUCUGUGACGUGUAGCGGUUUGCCACACUGUGGUAAGACUCUUGGGUAGAAAGAGCCCACAGACUACCAAGCACAGGAUGCCACACUGUCUAUUCCUCUUGCCUAAUGGAAGUCCAUUUCCAAGGCGCCAACAGCCGUACCAACUCCUACAAACACACACAAAAAACAAUUUUGUUUUACA